UUUGCUGACGAGUGGCGGACGGGUGAGUAAUGUCUGGGAAACUGCCUGAUGGAGGGGGAUAACUACUGGAAACGGUGGCUAAUACCGCAUAACGUCGCAAGACCAAAGAGGGGGACCUUCGGGCCUCUUGCCAUCAGAUGUGCCCAGAUGGGAUUAGCUUGUUGGUGAGGUAACGGCUCACCAAGGCGACGAUCCCUAGCUGGUCUGAGAGGAUGACCAGCCACACUGGAACUGAGACACGGUCCAGACUCCUACGGGAGGCAGCAGUGGGGAAUAUUGCACAAUGGGCGCAAGCCUGAUGCAGCCAUGCCGCGUGUAUGAAGAAGGCCUUCGGGUUGUAAAGUACUUUCAGCGGGGAGGAAGGUGUUGUGGUUAAUAACCGCAGCAAUUGACGUUACCCGCAGAAGAAGCACCGGCUAACUCCGUGCCAGCAGCCGCGGUAAUACGGAGGGUGCAAGCGUUAAUCGGAAUUACUGGGCGUAAAGCGCACGCAGGCGGUCUGUCAAGUCGGAUGUGAAAUCCCCGG
This 526-nucleotide ribosomal RNA is filed under the name Salmonella enterica subsp. enterica serovar Enteritidis. Its description in RNAcentral is "bacterial SSU rRNA". It matches the Rfam family "Bacterial small subunit ribosomal RNA", at positions 84 to 606 of the family's 1533-position model. The record is from RNAcentral. Lineage: Bacteria; Pseudomonadati; Pseudomonadota; Gammaproteobacteria; Enterobacterales; Enterobacteriaceae.